RNAcentral lists this ribosomal RNA (499 nucleotides) under uncultured bacterium. RNAcentral describes it as "partial 16S ribosomal RNA". It matches the Rfam family "Bacterial small subunit ribosomal RNA", at positions 29 to 507 of the family's 1533-position model. The record is from RNAcentral.
AACGAACGCUGGCGGCGUGCCUAAUACAUGCAAGUCGAGCGAAGGUUUUCUGGUACUUGCCCUUGACGAACUUAGCGGCGCACGGGUGAGAAACACGUAACGGACCUGACUCUUUGACUGGGGCUAAUGUAGGAAAAGAUAGCUAGUUACGGCUAACGACCUUAACUGCAAGGCUGAUGUUUAUAAGUUGGUGUUGGUAUCAAUAUGCGAUUGCUUUGCGGUGCAUUAGCUAGGUGGUGGGGUAAAGGCGUACCAAGGCGACGAUGCGUAGCCGACGUGAGAGGAUGAUCGGCCACACUGGAACUGAGACACGGCCCAGACUCCUACGGGAGGCAGCAGUGGGGAAUAUUCGGCAAUGGGCGAAAGCCUGACGGAGCAACGCCGCGUGAGUGAAGAAGGAUUUCGGGUCGUAAAGCCCUGUUGUUGGGAAAGAAAGGUUGUAGGUUAACUACACGCUGUAGUGACGGUACCUAAACAGUAAGCAACGGCUAACUUCGUG